RNAcentral lists this ribosomal RNA (254 nucleotides) under uncultured bacterium. Its description in RNAcentral is "partial 16S ribosomal RNA". It matches the Rfam family "Bacterial small subunit ribosomal RNA", at positions 524 to 776 of the family's 1533-position model. The record is from RNAcentral.
UACAGAGGGGGCAAGCGUUGUUCGGAAUUACUGGGCGUAAAGGGCGCGUAGGCGGUGUGUCGCGUCGGCCGUGAAAACCUGCAGCUUAACUGUGGGCUUGCGGUCGAUACGGGCAUCACUGGAGUUCGGCAGGGGAGACUGGAAUUCCUGGUGUAGCGGUGAAAUGCGCAGAUAUCAGGAGGAACACCGGUGGCGAAGGCGGGUCUCUGGGCCGAUACUGACGCUGAGGAGCGAAAGCGUGGGGAGCGAACAGG